Molecule: long non-coding RNA, 86 nt
Organism: Etheostoma spectabile (orangethroat darter)
Lineage: Eukaryota; Metazoa; Chordata; Actinopteri; Perciformes; Percidae
Exons: 3
Source: RefSeq, a predicted model, not a curated record
GCUUUGCCUUCAUGGCACUAGGAUUAGGCAAUGGUUAUGGUUAGAGUUAGGUGUCUUGAAGUCAACGGUCACAGCGCUGCCUGGAA